Molecule: ribosomal RNA, 451 nt
Filed under: uncultured bacterium
Lineage: Bacteria
Description: partial 16S ribosomal RNA
Rfam family: Bacterial small subunit ribosomal RNA
Source: RNAcentral
GUGGGGAAUAUUGGACAAUGGGCGGAAGCCUGAUCCAGCCAUGCCGCGUGUGUGAAGAAGGCCUUUUGGUUGUAAAGCACUUUAAGCGAGGAGGAGGCUCUUAAGGUUAAUACCCUUGAUGAGUGGACGUUACUCGCAGAAUAAGCACCGGCUAACUCUGUGCCAGCAGCCGCGGUAAUACAGAGGGUGCGAGCGUUAAUCGGAUUUACUGGGCGUAAAGCGUGCGUAGGCGGCUGAUUAAGUCGGAUGUGAAAUCCCUGAGCUUAACUUAGGAAUUGCAUUCGAUACUGGUCAGCUAGAGUAUGGGAGAGGAUGGUAGAAUUCCAGGUGUAGCGGUGAAAUGCGUAGAGAUCUGGAGGAAUACCGAUGGCGAAGGCAGCCAUCUGGCCUAAUACUGACGCUGAGGUACGAAAGCAUGGGGAGCAAACAGGAUUAGAUACCCGGGUAGUCC